This 481-nucleotide ribosomal RNA is filed under the name uncultured bacterium. RNAcentral describes it as "partial 16S ribosomal RNA". It matches the Rfam family "Bacterial small subunit ribosomal RNA", at positions 28 to 523 of the family's 1533-position model. The record is from RNAcentral.
GACGAACGCUGGCGGCGUGCUUAACACAUGCAAGUCGAGCGGAAAGGCCACUUCGGUGGUACUCGAGCGGCGAACGGGUGAGUAACACGUGAGUAAUCUGCCCCUGGCUUUGGGAUAGCCACCGGAAACGGUGAUUAAUACCGGAUACGACCACUUCUCGCAUGGGAUGGUGGUGGAAAGUUUUUUCGGCCAGGGAUGUGCUCGCGGCCUAUCAGCUUGAUGGUGAGGUAAUGGCUCACCAUGGCUUCGACGGGUAGCCGGCCUGAGAGGGUCACCAGUCACACUUGGACUGAGACCCGGCCUAGACUCCUACGGGAUGCAACAAUGGGGAAUAUUGGACACUGGGCGGAAGCCUCAUCCAACAACGCCGCGUGAGGGAUGACGGCCUUCGGGUGGUAAACCUCUUUCAGCAGGGACGAAGCGCAAGUGACGGUACCUGCAGAAGAAGCACCGGCCAACUGCGUGCCAGCAGCCGCCGCCG